GGCGGCGUGCUUAACACAUGCAAGUCGAGCGGUAAGGCCCUUUCGGGGUACACGAGCGGCGAACGGGUGAGUAACACGUGAGUAAUCUGCCCUUCACUUCGGGAUAAGCCUCGGAAACGGGGUCUAAUACCGGAUAUGACCACUUCACGCAUGUGAUGGUGGUGGAAAGUUUUUCGGUGGGGGAUGUGCUCGCGGCCUAUCAGCUUGUUGGUGGGGUAAUGGCCUACCAAGGCUUCGACGGGUAGCCGGCCUGAGAGGGUGACCGGCCACACUGGGACUGAGACACGGCCCAGACUCCUACGGGAGGCAGCAGUGGGGAAUAUUGGACAAUGGGCGGAAGCCUGAUCCAGCAACGCCGCGUGAGGGAUGACGGCCUUCGGGUUGUAAACCUCUUUCAGUAGGGACGAAGCGCAAGUGACGGUACCUACAGAAGAAGCACCGGCCAACUACGUGCCAGCAGCCGCGGUAAUACGUAGGGUGCGAGCGUUGUCCGGAAUUAUUGGGCGUAAAGGGCUCGUAGGCGGUUUGUCGCGUCGGGAGUGAAAACACUGGGCUUAACUCAGUGCUUGCUUCCGAUACGGGCAGACUAGAGGUAUUCAGGGGAGAACGGAAUUCCUGGUGUAGCGGUGAAAUGCGCAGAUAUCAGGAGGAACACCGGUGGCGAAGGCGGUUCUCUGGGAAUUACCUGACGCUGAGGAGCGAAAGUGUGGGGAGCGAACAGGAUUAGAUACCCUGGUAGUCCACACCGUAAACGUUGGGCGCUAGGUGUGGGGUCCAUUCCACGGAUUCCGUGCCGCAGCUAACGCAUUAAGCGCCCCGCC
Molecule: ribosomal RNA, 821 nt
Filed under: Nocardioides sp. RKEM 944
Lineage: Bacteria; Bacillati; Actinomycetota; Actinomycetes; Propionibacteriales; Nocardioidaceae
Description: bacterial SSU rRNA
Rfam family: Bacterial small subunit ribosomal RNA
Source: RNAcentral